AGUGAACGCUGGCGGCAGGCCUAACACAUGCAAGUCGAACGGCAGCACAGAGGAGCUUGCUCCUUGGGUGGCGAGUGGCGGACGGGUGAGGAAUACAUCGGAAUCUGCCUAGUCGUGGGGGCACAACGUAGGGAAACUUACGCUAAUACCGCAUACGACCUACGGGUGAAAGCGGGGAUCGCAAGACCUCGCGCGAUUAGAUGAGCCGAUGUCCGAUUAGCUAGUUGGCGGGGUAAUGGCCCACCAAGGCGACGAUCGGUAGCUGGUCUGAGAGGAUGAUCAGCCACACUGGAACUGAGACACGGUCCAGACUCCUACGGGAGGCAGCAGUGGGGAAUAUUGGACAAUGGGCGCAAGCCUGAUCCAGCCAUGCCGCGUGGGUGAAGAAGGCC
This 392-nucleotide ribosomal RNA is filed under the name uncultured bacterium. RNAcentral describes it as "bacterial SSU rRNA". It matches the Rfam family "Bacterial small subunit ribosomal RNA", at positions 29 to 416 of the family's 1533-position model. The record is from RNAcentral.